CAGCCGCCGCGGUAAUACCGGCGGCCCGAGUGGCGGUCACUAUUAUUGGGCUUAAAGCGUCCGUAGCCGGGUUGGGAAGUCCUCCGGGAAAUCUGGCCGCUUAACGGUCAGAAUGCCGGAGGAUACUCCCAGCCUAGGGAGCGGGAGAGGCCGAGGGUAUUCCCGGAGUAGGGGUGAAAUCCUAUAAUCCCGGGAGGACCACCUGUGGCGAAGGCGCUCGGCUGGAACGCGUCCGACGGUGAGGAACGAAGGCCAGGGGAGCAAACCGGAUUAGAUACCCGGGUAGUCCUGGCUGUAAACGAUGCGGACUUUGUGUCGGACAAGCUAUGAGCUUGUCCGGUGCCGGAGGGAAACCGUUAAGUCCGCCGCCUGGGGAGUACGGCCGCAAGGCUGAAACUUAAAGGAAUUGGCGGG
This 414-nucleotide ribosomal RNA is filed under the name uncultured microorganism. RNAcentral's name for it is "bacterial SSU rRNA". It matches the Rfam family "Archaeal small subunit ribosomal RNA", at positions 459 to 872 of the family's 1478-position model. The record is from RNAcentral.